UCUGGUGGGUAGUUUGACUGGGGCGGUCUCCUCCUAAAGAGUAACGGAGGAGCACGAAGGUUGGCUAAGCAUGGUCGGACAUCAUGCGGUUAGUGCAAAGGCAUAAGCCAGCUUGACUGCGAGAGUGACGGCUCGAGCAGGUACGAAAGUAGGUCUUAGUGAUCCGGUGGUUCUGAAUGGAAGGGCCAUCGCUCAACGGAUAAAAGGUACUCCGGGGAUAACAGGCUGAUACCGCCCAAGAGUUCAUAUCGACGGCGGUGUUUGGCACCUCGAUGUCGGCUCAUCACAUCCUGGGGCUGAAGUAGGUCCCAAGGGUAUGGCUGUUCGCCAUUUAAAGUGGUACGCGAGCUGGGUUUAGAACGUCGUGAGACAGUUCGGUCCCUAUCUGCCGUGGGCGUUGGAAGAUUGAGAGGGGUUGCUCCUAGUACGAGAGGACCGGAGUGAACGCACCACUGGUGUUCGGGUUGUCAUGCCAAUGGCAUUGCCCGGUAGCUAAGUGCGGAAGAGAUAACCGCUGAAAGCAUCUAAGCGGGAAACUUGCC
This 542-nucleotide ribosomal RNA is filed under the name Proteus mirabilis. Its description in RNAcentral is "partial 23S ribosomal RNA". It matches the Rfam family "Bacterial large subunit ribosomal RNA", at positions 2257 to 2798 of the family's 2925-position model. Lineage: Bacteria; Pseudomonadati; Pseudomonadota; Gammaproteobacteria; Enterobacterales; Morganellaceae. The record is from RNAcentral.